Molecule: ribosomal RNA, 251 nt
Filed under: uncultured Gardnerella sp.
Lineage: Bacteria; Bacillati; Actinomycetota; Actinomycetes; Bifidobacteriales; Bifidobacteriaceae
Description: partial 16S ribosomal RNA
Rfam family: Bacterial small subunit ribosomal RNA
Source: RNAcentral
GGGUGAGUAAUGCGUGACCAACCUGCCCCAUGCUCCAGAAUAGCUCUUGGAAACGGGUGGUAAUGCUGGAUGCUCCAACUUGACGCAUGUCUUGUUGGGAAAGUGUUUAGUGGCAUGGGAUGGGGUCGCGUCCUAUCAGCUUGUAGGCGGGGUAAUGGCCCACCUAGGCUUCGACGGGUAGCCGGCCUGAGAGGGCGGACGGCCACAUUGGGACUGAGAUACGGCCCAGACUCCUACGGGAGGCAGCAGCG